Molecule: ribosomal RNA, 765 nt
Filed under: uncultured Streptococcus sp.
Lineage: Bacteria; Bacillati; Bacillota; Bacilli; Lactobacillales; Streptococcaceae
Description: bacterial SSU rRNA
Rfam family: Bacterial small subunit ribosomal RNA
Source: RNAcentral
GACGAACGCUGGCGGCGUGCCUAAUACAUGCAAGUAGAACGCUGAAGAGAGGAGCUUGCUCUUCUUGGAUGAGUUGCGAACGGGUGAGUAACGCGUAGGUAACCUGCCUUGUAGCGGGGGAUAACUAUUGGAAACGAUAGCUAAUACCGCAUAACAAUGGAUGACACAUGUCAUUUAUUUGAAAGGGGCAAUUGCUCCACUACAAGAUGGACCUGCGUUGUAUUAGCUAGUAGGUGAGGUAACGGCUCACCUAGGCGACGAUACAUAGCCGACCUGAGAGGGUGAUCGGCCACACUGGGACUGAGACACGGCCCAGACUCCUACGGGAGGCAGCAGUAGGGAAUCUUCGGCAAUGGGGGCAACCCUGACCGAGCAACGCCGCGUGAGUGAAGAAGGUUUUCGGAUCGUAAAGCUCUGUUGUAAGUCAAGAACGAGUGUGAGAGUGGAAAGUUCACACUGUGACGGUAGCUUACCAGAAAGGGACGGCUAACUACGUGCCAGCAGCCGCGGUAAUACGUAGGUCCCGAGCGUUGUCCGGAUUUAUUGGGCGUAAAGCGAGCACAGGCGGUUUGAUAAGUCUGAAGUUAAAGGCUGUGGCUCAACCAUAGUUCGCUUUGGAAACUGUCAAACUUGAGUGCAGAAGGGGAGAGUGGAAUUCCAUGUGUAGCGGUGAAAUGCGUAGAUAUAUGGAGGAACACCGGUGGCGAAAGCGGCUCUCUGGUCUGUAACUGACGCUGAGGCUCGAAAGCGUGGGGAGCGAACAGG